RNAcentral lists this ribosomal RNA (623 nucleotides) under uncultured bacterium. RNAcentral's name for it is "bacterial SSU rRNA". It matches the Rfam family "Bacterial small subunit ribosomal RNA", at positions 824 to 1450 of the family's 1533-position model. The record is from RNAcentral.
UGGGGGAGUGAAAUCCCUUAGUAACGAAGCUAACGCGUGAAGUUGACCGCCUGGGGAGUACGGUCGCAAGAUUAAAACUCAAAGGAAUUGACGGGGACCCGCACAAGCGGUGGAUGAUGUGGAUUAAUUCGAUGCAACGCGAAAAACCUUACCUACCCUUGACAUGUCCGGAAUCCUGCAGAGAUGCGGGAGUGCCCGAAAGGGAAUCGGAACACAGGUGCUGCAUGGCUGUCGUCAGCUCGUGUCGUGAGAUGUUGGGUUAAGUCCCGCAACGAGCGCAACCCUUAUCAUUAGUUGCUACGCAAGGGCACUCUAAUGAGACUGCCGGUGACAAACCGGAGGAAGGUGGGGAUGACGUCAAGUCCUCAUGGCCCUUAUGGGUAGGGCUUCACACGUCAUACAAUGGUCGGUACAGAGGGUUGCCAAGCCGCGAGGUGGAGCCAAUCCCAGAAAGCCGAUCGUAGUCCGGAUUGUUCUCUGCAACUCGAGAGCAUGAAGUCGGAAUCGCUAGUAAUCGCGGAUCAGCAUGUCGCGGUGAAUACGUUCCCGGGUCUUGUACACACCGCCCGUCACACCAUGGGAGUGGAAUCUGCCAGAAGUAGGUAGCCUAACCGCAAGGGGGG